CUCGCGGGGCAGCCCGCGGCCGCCGGGAGGGAGCGGCCCCGCCGAGGGCGGCCAUCUUUACUAGUGGCAGCGAGGGCCGCCCCGGACGCCGAGGGUCUGUUCACGGCGCUCUUCUGCGCAACAGAAGUUUUGUUGGGGGUUCCCCUUUUUUUUUUACUUGGCGGCAACCCAUCACUGGCACCCUAAAAGGAACACUCCAUUUUAUUGUGUGUCAGUACACUGUCCAUGGACAUUGCAAAAGAAAGGAAACUGCAGUUUUGCAUAAUCUCCAUAUAGCAACAGCCGCCCGUGCUUCUGUGGAACACACGGUGUUCUUUGGCAGCCGCGGUGCUCGGAGCCGGCACUUGGCUUGCUGUGCGCAGUAGACAGAGCAGAGGACCGCGUCUUCCCAGAGCCUGGGUUUCUUCUGUCGCACAGCCUGCUGGUGAAGGUUGCAUGAGAUAAAGACUACGAUGGAACCCUGUCAUCUGGACCCUGUGAUCUCUGAAUUUGUGUAAAACUUAAAUGGGUAGCAUGCAGGGAGAAGUUACCAUGGGACACCAUGACUGGGAAGGGCAUUUCUGAGCCACUCUAGCACUGAGCCACCUUCAAGCCUUUCCUAAAAGCAUAGGCACCCAAGGCUGCUCGAAGGUCAAGGACUUGGCUGCUGGCUGCAUCAUAAGACCUCUGAAUCUCCGGCCUUUUCCUCCCAUUCUUUGCCAGUGCUCACUACAUUUACAAGGGAGUCUGGAGGGCAGGAAUCCCCACGCCCACAGCUGGGCAACAAGGUCAAGGGUGUCAAAAUCCAGGCCCAGAAAAGCAGCAAAACCAGGUGGGCAACACCAGGACC
This is a long non-coding RNA of Myotis lucifugus (little brown bat), 829 nucleotides long. RefSeq lists it as uncharacterized. The record is from RefSeq and is a predicted model, not a curated record. The transcript has 6 exons. NCBI's taxonomy places the organism in Eukaryota, Metazoa, Chordata, Mammalia, Chiroptera, Vespertilionidae.